GGUCUUUGCUUUUUGGUUCGAACUUCUCUCUCAAGUUUCUUAUUCAGUUGUCUACUUGUCUUGACUCUUCGAAUUUUCUUUCUUGCUAUUAGCUGUUUUGCUUUUUUCAGUUGUCUCUCUGUUCAUUUCUGGCUUUUAAUUCUGUGAUUGAGUUGUGGAAAAAAUUGCAACAUAUUUCUUACUUUGUCUCUCUUUGUUGGCAAUCGCCAGUGUGAUAUAUUAAUUUCUACUGACGUGCUAUGCUAACAAGGCUUUGAAAAGCCUAAGAAAUUUUGCUUAUUAUUGUGGUGUGGUGUCUUCCCUUUUGUGCUUAUAGGAUAAUAUUUCCAACUGUGGGAUUUGAUUGAUACAGAGUUGUUAAGAUGGCAAAUGAUGCGGCUUCGUUCGUGUGCGUGUCGAAAGAGCUACAAUUACAAAUGAUAUGAUGAUUGGGCUAUUAAGUUUGAAUUGUGUGAUAUUCUUAUAUAUCAACAUGAUGGAUCUUCCUAGUCAAGCAAAAGAGGCUGUGAAGGUGCUCAAGAAACGGUUAGGAAGCAAAAAACUCUUAAGUCCAGAAUCUUGCACUUUAUGCAUUGGAAACAUUUGAGUAAGAAUUUGUGGCGAAAACGUGUACCAGCUUAUCAUUUAAUCGUGAUAUUUUGAUUGACAUGGUCAAAAUCGUGAAGAAGAAGAAGGUUUUGUAAUAUUUCACCUCACCUGCCUUUUUUAAUAUCUCAAUUUCUCUCCAUUGGCUUGUCUAAAUUUCCGAACAUAAUAAUAAUUUCGCAGCCGGACAGGAA
Molecule: long non-coding RNA, 779 nt
Organism: Camelina sativa (false flax)
Lineage: Eukaryota; Viridiplantae; Streptophyta; Magnoliopsida; Brassicales; Brassicaceae
Source: RefSeq, a predicted model, not a curated record